RNAcentral lists this ribosomal RNA (619 nucleotides) under uncultured bacterium. RNAcentral describes it as "bacterial SSU rRNA". The stretch from base 1 to 521 matches the Rfam family "Bacterial small subunit ribosomal RNA", at positions 338 to 873 of the family's 1533-position model. The record is from RNAcentral.
CCUACGGGAGGCAGCAGUAGGGAAUUUUCCACAAUGGGGGCAACCCUGAUGGAGCAACACCGCGUGCAGGAUGAAGGCCCUCGGGUCGUAAACUGCUUUUUUCUGUGAUGAAUAUGACAGUAGCAGACGAAUAAGGAUCGGCUAACUCCGUGCCAGCAGCCGCGGUCAUACGGAGGAUCCAAGCGUUAUCCGGAAUUACUGGGCGUAAAGAGUUGCGUAGGCGGUCUUGUAAGCAGGGCAUGAAAUAGUGUGGCUCAACCAUACUGCUAUGUUCUGAACUGCAAAACUAGAGGAUGAGAGAGGUUAUUGGAAUUCCCAGUGUAGGAGUGAAAUCCGUAGAUAUUGGGAGGAACACCGAUGGCGUAGGCAGAUAACUGGCUCAUUCCUGACGCUCAGGCACGAAAGCGUGGGUAGCAAACGGGAUUAGAUACCCCGGUAGUCCACGCCGUAAACUAUGGAUGCUAGCUGUACACCGUAUCGACCGGUGUGUAGCGAAGCUAACGCGUUAAGCGACGUCCGCCGUGUGGAGGUACGGAGCGCGAGACGUUAAACGUAAAGUUAAAGGUUAAAGUUAGUUACGGCGUUGAGACGCGCCGACGGACGACGACGAGGGAGGAGG